This 253-nucleotide ribosomal RNA is filed under the name uncultured bacterium. RNAcentral's name for it is "partial 16S ribosomal RNA". It matches the Rfam family "Bacterial small subunit ribosomal RNA", at positions 524 to 776 of the family's 1533-position model. The record is from RNAcentral.
UACGUAGGGGGCAAGCGUUGUCCGGAUUUACUGGGCGUAAAGAGCGCGCAGGCGGUCGUUCAAGUCGAGUGUGAAAGCCCCCGGCUCAACUGGGGAGGGUCAUUCGAUACUGAUCGACUCGAAGGCAGGAGAGGGUAGUGGAAUUCCCGGUGUAGUGGUGAAAUGCGUAGAGAUUUGGAGGAACACCAGUGGCGAAGGCGACUGUCUGGUCUGUAACUGACACUGAGGCGCGAAAGCGUGGGGAGCAAACAGG